UUGGUGGGUCUCGAGUGGCGAACGGGUGAGUAACACGUGAGUAACCUGCCCUUGACUUUGGGAUAACUUCAGGAAACUGGGGCUAAUACCGGAUAGGAGCUCCUGCUGCAUGGUGGGGGUUGGAAAGUUUCGGCGGUUGGGGAUGGACUCGCGGCUUAUCAGCUUGUUGGUGGGGUAGUGGCUUACCAAGGCUUUGACGGGUAGCCGGCCUGAGAGGGUGACCGGCCACAUUGGGACUGAGAUACGGCCCAG
RNAcentral lists this ribosomal RNA (252 nucleotides) under uncultured Actinomycetales bacterium. RNAcentral's name for it is "partial 16S ribosomal RNA". It matches the Rfam family "Bacterial small subunit ribosomal RNA", at positions 80 to 334 of the family's 1533-position model. Lineage: Bacteria; Bacillati; Actinomycetota; Actinomycetes; Actinomycetales. The record is from RNAcentral.